GAUUCUGGCUCAGGAUGAACGCUGGCGGCGUGCCUAACACAUGCAAGUCGAACGAAGCACUUCUGGUUUGAGAUUCGUCAAGAACCGGAAUUGACUUAGUGGCGGACGGGUGAGUAAUGUAUGAGCAACCUGCCUUCAGAGGGGGACAACAGUUGGAAACGACUGCUAAUACCGCAUAAUGUAUUUGGGUGGCAUCACCUGGAUACCAAAGGAGCAAUCCGCUGAAAGAUGGGCUCAUAUCUGAUUAGUUAGUUGGCAGGGUAACGGCCUACCAAGACUGCGAUCAGUAGCCGGACUGAGAGGUUGAACGGCCACAUUGGGACUGAGAUACGGCCCAGACUCCUACGGGAGGCAGCAGUGGGGAAUAUUGGGCAAUGGGCGAAAGCCUGACCCAAGCAACGCCGCGUGAAGGAAGAAGGUCUUCGGAUUGUAAACUUCUUUUAUGAGGGACGAAGGACGUGACGGUACCUCAUGAAUAAGCCACGGCUAACUACGUGCCAGCAGCAGC
Molecule: ribosomal RNA, 508 nt
Filed under: uncultured bacterium
Lineage: Bacteria
Description: bacterial SSU rRNA
Rfam family: Bacterial small subunit ribosomal RNA
Source: RNAcentral